This 497-nucleotide ribosomal RNA is filed under the name uncultured bacterium. RNAcentral describes it as "partial 16S ribosomal RNA". It matches the Rfam family "Bacterial small subunit ribosomal RNA", at positions 28 to 507 of the family's 1533-position model. The record is from RNAcentral.
GAUGAACGCUGGCGGCGUGCCUAAUACAUGCAAGUCGAGCGAACGGACGAGAAGCUUGCUUCUCUGAUGUUAGCGGCGGACGGGUGAGCAACACGUGGAUAACCUACCUAUAAGACUGGGAUAACUUCGGGAAACCGGAGCUAAUACCGGAUGAUAUUUUGAACCGCAUGGUUCAAAAGUGAAAGACGGUCUUGCUGUCACUUAUAGAUGGAUCCGCGCUGCACUAGCUAGUUGGUAAGGUAACGGCUUACCAAGGCAACGAUGCAUAGCCGACCUGAGAGGGUGAUCGGCCACACUGGAACUGAGACACGGUCCAGACUCCUACGGGAGGCAGCAGUAGGGAAUCUUCCGCAAUGGGCGAAAGCCUGACGGAGCAACGCCGCGUGAGUGAUGAAGGUCUUCGGAUCGUAAAACUCUGUUAUUAGGGAAGAACAUAUGUGUAAGUAACUGUGCACAUCUUGACGGUACCUAAUCAGAAAGCCACGGCUAACUACGUG